UGGUGGUUAGUUUAACAAAAACAAAUGAUUUCGACUCAUUAAAUUAUGCUAAUUACAUAACCACCAA
RNAcentral lists this transfer RNA (67 nucleotides) under Phyllomys mantiqueirensis (Mantiqueira Atlantic tree-rat). RNAcentral's name for it is "tRNA-Arg". The record is from RNAcentral. Lineage: Eukaryota; Metazoa; Chordata; Mammalia; Rodentia; Echimyidae.